CAGUAGCCGCGGUAAUACGGAGGGUGCAAGCGUUAAUCGGAAUUACUGGGCGUAAAGCGCACGCAGGCGGUUUGUUAAGUCUGCUGUGAAAUCCCCGGGCUCAACCUGGGAAUGGCAGUGGAUACUGGCAAGCUAGAGUGUGUCAGAGGAUGGUGGAAUUCCCGGUGUAGCGGUGAAAUGCGUAGAGAUCGGGAGGAACAUCAGUGGCGAAGGCGGCCAUCUGGGACAACACUGACGCUGAGGCACGAAAGCGUGGGGAGCAAACAGGAUUAGAUACCCCAGUAGUCCCUGUCUCUUAUAC
RNAcentral lists this ribosomal RNA (301 nucleotides) under uncultured bacterium. RNAcentral's name for it is "partial 16S ribosomal RNA". It matches the Rfam family "Bacterial small subunit ribosomal RNA", at positions 509 to 807 of the family's 1533-position model. The record is from RNAcentral.